This 84-nucleotide microRNA precursor is filed under the name Helobdella robusta. Its description in RNAcentral is "mir-124 microRNA precursor family". The stretch from base 5 to 79 matches the Rfam family "mir-124 microRNA precursor family". Rfam says of the family: The mature ~21nt miRNAs are processed from hairpin precursor sequences represented here, in this case originating from the 3' arm. The bounds of the precursors are predicted based on conservation and base pairing and are not generally known. Lineage: Eukaryota; Metazoa; Annelida; Clitellata; Rhynchobdellida; Glossiphoniidae. The record is from RNAcentral.
CAUGCGUCCCCAGGGUUCACCACGUGGUCCUUGAUUUGAUGCUGAGUAAGAUUAAGGCACGCGGUGAAUGCCAAGGACGCUGGC